UACGGAGGGGGCUAGCGUUGUUCGGAAUUACUGGGCGUAAAGCGUGCGUAGGCGGACCUGCAAGUCGGGGGUGAAAGCCCGAGGCUCAACCUCGGAACUGCCUUCGAUACUGCGGGUCUCGAGUCCGGGAGAGGUGAGUGGAAUUCCUAGUGUAGAGGUGAAAUUCGUAGAUAUUAGGAAGAACACCAGUGGCGAAGGCGGCUCACUGGCUCGGUACUGACGCUGAGGCGCGAAAGCGUGGGGAGCAAACAGG
RNAcentral lists this ribosomal RNA (253 nucleotides) under uncultured bacterium. Its description in RNAcentral is "partial 16S ribosomal RNA". It matches the Rfam family "Bacterial small subunit ribosomal RNA", at positions 524 to 776 of the family's 1533-position model. The record is from RNAcentral.